AAAUUUUUUUUUUCUGAAAACCUAACCCCAGAGUAUGCAAGAUCCGCCACAAAUACAGGAGAUCCACUGUUCACACGGACAGAGUCUCCCCUGUAUUUGCACGACGUCGCACAAGUACAAGAAUACAACUAGGAUACAACCACAACUAGAUGAAUAUAAAGAUCACUAUACAUUCAUACAUUCACCAUUCACAUCACAGUUUUACAUUCAAUGUUUAAACAGAAAUCCACGAAAAAUCUUUUUGAAAACUGUUUCCUACACGGAAACCUUUAUUCUUUAAAAACGCUACCACGAGGGGUAGAAAACCUUUUAUUUUACAAAAUUCAGAAAUCCUUUUAUUACAUUCAUGAAAAUCCACAUAUUCAAAUGUAAUAAAAAUACUGAACCAUAUAAACUAUCUAUGCUAUAUAUCAACAGAAAUAAAAAGGGUAAGAGCUAAACCGAACAACCUGGGUCGGAAGAUCUAUCGACCGCUACGUACGUGUCUCACGUCUCGUCUCAACCCUCACCGCCCGCGAUACCUGAAAAAUAGUGGGGGAGGUGAGAACAUGUAAACAUGUCUCCCCUCCCAGUGGGUACUGCAAGCCGAAGAAGGCGAGGAGUACUCACCGGAUGAGGAAGAGCUAUAUAACAACACGGGUCAGUGGGAAUACAGUAGGAACAAUAGUAAACGAAAGAGAUGUAUAAGGUAAUAAGCAGAUAUACUAAAUACAGUAGCAAUAAACUGAAAGAAAGUAGGAACUAGACUGAAUAACGGCUACCGCUACUGUAACUGGAACAGA
Molecule: long non-coding RNA, 782 nt
Filed under: Ananas comosus (pineapple)
Lineage: Eukaryota; Viridiplantae; Streptophyta; Magnoliopsida; Poales; Bromeliaceae
Description: long non-coding RNA (ACOM_LNC042958)
Source: RNAcentral